RNAcentral lists this ribosomal RNA (1308 nucleotides) under Cladhymenia lyallii. RNAcentral describes it as "LSU rRNA". It matches the Rfam family "Eukaryotic large subunit ribosomal RNA", at positions 641 to 1950 of the family's 3401-position model. The record is from RNAcentral. Lineage: Eukaryota; Rhodophyta; Florideophyceae; Ceramiales; Delesseriaceae.
GAUUCGACCCGUCUUGAAACACGGACCAAGAAGUCUAGCAUGUAUGCGAGUCAAAGGGUGGUUAAACCUGAGGGCGCAGUGAAAGCGACUGUAGAACUUGCAGUUUGCGGCGGCAUAUGAUCUCUGAUCGUAAGUCCGACCUAGAGCAUAUAUGAUAGGACCCGAAAGAUGGUGAACUAUGCUUGAGUAGGGUGAAGCCAGGAGAAAUUCUGGUGGAAGCUCGUAGCGGUGCUGACGUGCAAAUCGCUCGUCAAACUUGAGUAUAGGGGCGAAAGACCAAUCGAACCAUCUGGUAGCUGGUUUCCUCCGAAGUUUCUCUCAGGAUAGCGGACCAAAUUUGAAGUUGUUAUGCACGGUAAAGCGAAUGAUUAGCGCACUUGGGGGAAUUUAUUCCUCCUGGCGAUUCUCAAACUUUAAAUGUGCAUGGAGAGGGCUGCUUGGUUGAGCUCCCUCGUUAAAAACAUUGGUUCCGUGGGCCAAUCUUGGUAAGCAGGACUGGCGAUAUGGGAUGAACCAUAAGUGUAGUUAAGGCGCCAAAUUACCCGCUUAAAGAUCCCAAAAAAGGUGUUGAUUCAUAUAGACAGCAGGACGGUGGCCAUGGAAGUCGGAAUCCGCUAAGGAGUGUGUAAAAACUCACCUGCCGAAUGAAUUAGCCCUGAAAAUGGAUGGCGCUGAAGCGGGUAGCCGACACUGCACCAUUUCAGCAAAUUUUGUCUGAGAUGAGUAGGAGGAACGUGGCGGUUGUAUAGAAGCAUGGGCGCAAGCUUGUGUGGAACGGCCGCUAGUGCAGAUCUUGGUGGUAGUAGCAAAUAUUCAAAUGAGAUCCUUGAAGGGCCAAGCGGGGAAGGGUUCCUCGCGAACAUUGAUUGAGCGAGGGUUAGUCGUUCCUAAGCCAUCUGGCAAUAGCUAGUCACUGGCGAAAGGGAAGCAGGUAAAGAUUCCUGCACGCAGUUGUUCUUGCGGUGACGCACGUCGGCCCAUAGAAGUCGUGGUGGUAGUCGCUGGGCAGAGAUUUCUUUUCUGUUUAACGCCCUCUCGUUCUGUGAAACCCGCUUGUCGGGAGUAACAGACGACAGCACAGGGCAGAGCGCAGGAAUUUUUCCUGCGUCCGGCUUGAUUCCCACGUCCCUUGAAAAUCUGGGUGCUGGCCUAUGAUCGACCUUCGGGUGUGAGCUAGGUGGAACAUUAGAACUCUGCAACGUACCCAUAACCGCAUCAGGUCCCCAAGGUGAACAGCCUCUGCUCGAUAUGAAUAAUGCAGGUAAGGGAAGUCGGCAAAUUAGACCCGUAACUUUGGGAAAAGGGUUG